UUGCAGUUUGUGUUUGAGGGCGCCUUUUCAUGUUUAGAGUCACUUUUUAAACCAACAAAGCCGGCACUGUUAGCAUCUGUCUGUGUGUGUCUGUGUGAGGUCGCCAGGGGCACGUGGCUGUGUUAAAUACAACUGCUGCGUCAGGAAGUGAAAGGUCAGCAUUUGUUGGCGUGGUGGGACGGAUGAAACCGUAUGAUCACUUCAUUGAGGGGCAAGCCGUCACUCACACAUGGACCGUUGGGUGUGAGGAAGUUAACCUUUUUAUGACACGUACCGGUGUGGGGUGACACAUCUGUACAUAUAGAAGCAUAGACUUACAAAAUGUCUAUUUAGAUUGAAUGCAAAUUAUUAGCAGUUGUUGUGGUAGUAAAAAGAAAAGAUCUACAUUGAAAACCCCAAUAGGGAAAAUGAAUGAGCUUAACAUUUAAAGCACCUGUAAGAGAUUUUUGACGUUUACGAAAUGGAUUGAAAUUCAUACAGCAACCUUCCUAUGAUAUACAAAAGUAAAGCAAACAAGCCCUUUAGUGACAACAUUGAGGAUUUUUAAAUUGCUAUCUAUCGUACCUGAAACUGGUGCGAGGGGGUUGUUGUCAGUGGAGUGAUUGUAAAUUUUUCUUAUUGAAUAUUAACACAAAAAAAAAUACAAUGACCAGGAUAAGAGUUUUUACCCAAAGAAAAUAUUUAACCAUGUGGAAGAGAAGAUAAGCAAAGACCGAAAUUGACCCAAGCUGAAAGUUCCUCACUGGAGCUUUAAUUCAUACAUCAAAUGAAUGAAUCUGUAUUAAAGCUGCAGCGAUACACUGAUAACGGCUUAAAUGUAGGCAACACUAAGGAGGCCUCUGCUGCUGAGAAAACUAUCAUGAAAAAUUCAAUAAGAAAUCUUCAAUAAGUUUCAAGGAAUCAAAUUAAAUCUGUUUCUUUGUCUAAAAUAAUAAAAGAUUUUUAAGGAACUUAAGGAAUAAGUACAAGAUUUGUGGCUGCAUGGUCAAGGAUGAUAACUGAUCAAUAAGAAUGCAAGUACAACACUCAUUGUUUUUAUCAUAUUGGAAGGGAUUAAAGCUCUACAUGCUUUAGUAUGACAAAAAAAAGUUUUGCUGAGUUUUUGACAGUAGAAAGUGCCAGCUUUUUUGGAUAUUUUAUGUGGAAACUGUAAAAAAGAGUAAUUUCUUCAACUGCUUGGUUGACACCUACCCCCUCACACCAAUUUCUGGCAUUAAUAAAUUGCAAUAUGUAAUCUUAUCAGCCUUAUCCCUGAUGGUCUUGGUUGUUUUUGGAUACCAUGAAAAGGCAUCAGAUGAAUUUGUUUCAUGUUCCUUAAAAAUGAAAAUAAAAAUCUUCAAAGGAGCUUUAACUGAAUGAGUGUCAUUUGUGAUUUUAAAAAGCUUUUAAUGAUCUCCCUGAAGGAAAUUCAGAGUUUGCAGUGGCACAAGAGCUAAAAAGAAGUCAAUUAGCCCAUAAAAGAAGCAGAACAUUGAGAAUUUAUAGUAAGUGUUCAGCUUGUUACAAUAAAUGGGUCAGAAUAAACAUUCAAAAGCUACACAGACAUAGUUUAAUUUAAGUUACAAGUCAAACAGACCAAAAGUGCACCCAUGUUUUAUCAAUGAAAUGAGAGGUUUCUAUAAAAUGACUGAAAAUGUUAAAUCAUGGCAAACAGGCUCAAGACAGGCCUCCAGACUUCUAUCUGAACUCUGUGUUGAAUUUCUGUUUUUGUUUCAUGAAGGUUAAAUGUGCAGCGGACACUUCCCCCUCAUAAUUCAUAACCUUUGACUCCUCUGUGCCCCUGUGUUUAAGUGAGUGCAGCAGAGUGAGGAUGCCUCCUUGUGGCCAUGUGUGCCAGCACAAAAACAACUAAAUAGGUCAUGGAGAGAAGUAACAUGAAGUGACUGACAAGACCUUAAAAAAUUAAUCUGGUCUUGACUACAUCAAAAAUAGGUUUCAAAGUCAUACAAGUAUGUUUUUUAGAUUGCACAGAGGUUUAGGAGACUUUUCUUGUAACAGCUGGCAAAUCUAGACUUUCAACCUGUUGCUGGUUUUAAUGUUAGAGUAAGAACCAAUGGUCAUACAUCCAGCUUCUACUACAUGCCUGGAUUUAUUUGUAGUUUUGUAGCAGCACUUGUGAUUAUAUUCCAUCCAAAAUCCAAGGGGAGUAAGCGACAAAUUCAUCACGACAAAAUGUUAAAAAAUUCGUCAAGGCUAAUUGAACUCAAUUUACGGGAGGUCAACAUAAAUAUGCAGAUGAUGCCUACAGCGUCUUCAUGGAGAAAAGAUUGAUGUAAGUUUGCAACAGAAUAGUUUUCUUAUGAAUAACAAACAGAAAAAGGCCUGUGGUGCAUGAGUUAAAGUUGCUUGAUGUUCACACUCUUAAUAUGUCUGUCUAUGGUGUUGGUAUACUGUUUUUGGAUACUACAAACAGAAGAAAGGUUUUUCCCUGUAUUAUCAUAAGCUUUCAGAAACAAGGAAAAAUAUAGAUGUUGGUUCAAAUAUUUGUUUUACAUUAGACUAAGUUAUAAAAAUCCGGGAGGCCUUUUGCAACCAUUUUGUUUCAUUAAAAAAGUUUAUUAGAAUUAAAAAUUAUAAACAGCAGAAGCAGAGAUUUAGUCAGUCAUCUGCUCAAGUUGUAUCCCAUCAUACUCAGCAGAAAAACUUGUUUGUUCCUCUGCGUUUCUGCCAGAGAUUGGAGUCAAACAUGUGCUUUAUAAAUAGAAAAGGUUUGUACCAGAGCCUGUAUUUUUUCAGACAAACUUUACCAGAUCAGGACAAUAAUUCUGAAACCUGAUGAAUAAUGCUUGGUGUGACUUUAUUUUGCCCACACUAUAUUCCGCACCUCCACAUAUACUCACUGCAGGGUGUACUGACGCGGAGAGAAACGUUAUGACAAAAUCGUAUUUAAAGAAAAGUAAGUUUUACCUUCUUCGUGAUGUGUGGAAAUCCCCUCAAGGUGUGUCAAUAUUCUACAAACAAUUUUAGAUGUGGGUUUCCUGCUUGGCUGGUACACGUGUAAAAAUAGCAGUGUGUCUUUACAUUCAAAAGAGCAGAAUAAAGUUUAUGUUGCAUAGAAAAAUAAAGGAGUAUGGGAAUGAUUUUCUAUGUUUAUAUUGAGCUCUAACUCAAAUAAGCAGCCAGAGAUGAGACUAGAAGCUUGUUUUUUUUGCAAGUUAAUUUAGGUCAAAUAUUUUCUUUGCCAUAUAAAUAUAUGAAAUACAACUUGCACACAUUUAAGAUAUUGAUAGUAUUUAUUUUAAAGGGGAAAACACCUUAGUGCUGAGCUUUUCUCCUCUUAUUUCUACACGUAGAGUGCAGUCAUGUAUUUCUUUGAUAAGCCCUCUAAAUGAGGUAUCUUUCCUCCAUGUGUGAUUGCCAUUAAAUUCCUGUAACUCACGAGCUUUCAUUCAUUAAGCUGCAUUCCCCUUCUUCUCCAACCCUUCCCCCAUUUUACUGCCUGGCAGUAUUUGGAAGAGAAAUGGACGACUUCCCCACCAAACGGCUCCCAGAGAGAGUGGGUGUGUUAGCCAGACAUCUUGUUACUCAAUAACGACAGCGUGAUAACAAACGAGGCCAAAGAAACACACAUUAUGAACAUAAAGAGCUGUAUUAUUAAAAAGAAACACAGCAGAGGUUGUUACAGCGGUUGAAAUACGCCUCAAAUACGGGAACCAUAUUCUACAUCCGCAGCUACGAAAACAGAAAAUACAAAAGUUACACGAAUUAAAUCCUCAACUGUUUCUUUUUUUUUUCAAGUGAAAGUAUUAGCUUUCGAUUUAUAGGAAAAUACAGAUAUCGGUAAUCUGCGAAGUACAACCCAUUCUGCAGCAAUGUAUCCUCUCCUAUUGCAAGCUGCCAUUUCUACCUCCCCUCGACUGUAGC
This is a non-coding RNA of Xyrichtys novacula (pearly razorfish), 3864 nucleotides long. NCBI's taxonomy places the organism in Eukaryota, Metazoa, Chordata, Actinopteri, Labriformes, Labridae. The record is from the annotation of a GenBank genome assembly.